Solanum dulcamara is the source of this 5824-nucleotide long non-coding RNA. RefSeq lists it as uncharacterized. The transcript has 4 exons. Lineage: Eukaryota; Viridiplantae; Streptophyta; Magnoliopsida; Solanales; Solanaceae. The record is from RefSeq and is a predicted model, not a curated record.
AAAGAGGGGGUGAUGGUAUAAUUUUAGUGUUAGUGGGGUAAAAUUCCAAAAUGGAAAACCCUAAUUUUUUUCACUCUUUCUCAUUCUUCUAAAAAACAGGAAGCUGUCCCCCACCCAAAACCUCAUGGCUCUUCACUGAUCUUCGACAACCCCGCCACUGUAAUGCCAUUUUCAGCAAUCUACAAGCUCUAAAUGAGCAAAUCGAAGAUCGAACUCUGAGCUCGCGAGCAAGAACAACCCUCCGAAUAGAACACUGCUCACAAACCACUGUUUCUCUCCCCCAACAAAACUCAAACCCAUCCAAGCUCAAAAACAACCACCGAGCAAACCACAAAACUCCGGCGAAAGUGUUUCCCUUUUCCCGUUUCUCCGAACAACAACCAAACCCCAGAUCCCAUUCCUUUCUUCUUCAUCCAACCACACCAACAAUUCCAUUAGCGAGCCGGCGAGCUCAAAUCUUGCACCGACAAACCACAAACCAACUAGAUCUAAUAGAAAUCAAUGCACCUCUACCAUUCAACUCCAAGCUUCGGCGAACGAAGCUAAUGGAUCUUAACACCACCACUGCUCCUCUCUUCUUUGAUGAAUAGGUAUCUAACCCAGAGUUGCAUUCCGAGGAAGUUGUUCGAAUAAAAUUUGAAUAAUCCUUUUUAUUUCAUUAUUAUAUAUAUUAUUGACGUAGGCAAAUAUCAGGCCAUUUCUCAUAUUAUUGCUUUAUUUUAUUCUCUACGUAUAUUUCAUGUUUAUAUUUGUGUGUUAUUUAUUUCAUCCUCAAUUUAAAAAUAAAUGAGUUCAGUCGAACCCACAGUUGUGGAUUUUGAAGGGAGCUAAUACCUUUCCUUUGGGAUAACUUGAACUCCUUACCUAGAAUCUAAUAGUUUCGUAGGCUAUUUUGUUAAUUUAUUGGUUUUCUAAUUAUCCUAAAAUUAGGUGGCAAUUCCUUAAAAUUUAAAAUUUAUCAUUAAAAUUCUUUUUAAGACUAUUAAAUUGAUUUUUUUAUGUUUCCCACGAUGUUGCUCUGUAUUUGGAUGUCAACACGGAUGGAAAAUGGUUCCAACGAUGCGUAUGGGAAAUGAUUUUGGCGAUUGAUACUUAUGCCGAUGGGAAAUGGUUUCGGCGGUGUCGAUGGAAAAUAGUUUCGAUGGAUAUAUGGUCUUUGUGUGGUACCCAUAGGUUCCGAUCUGUUAUACAAUAGAUGUGUAUCAUUAGGACAUACAUGCAUUACUUUACGUGACAUCACAUUAUAUUGCAUUACAUUUUAUCUGUCAUCAUGAAGUUGUGUGUAUGCCCCUUGUGACUCUGUGCUUGAUAUAUUUAAUAUUGUGUGACUUAUUCGGUGAUGCUGAUGAACUAUUAUUGAUCUAUGUGCUAUAUGAGUUGUGUAGUAUAGAUUAGGCUGAUUUUUGUACAGGUUAUAGUUGAGGAGGUUCGGUUGGAAUGAAAGAAGUUCUAGUGGAAUGAAAGAAGUUCUAGUGUCUAUUAGAUUUACUCUAUUUUGUUAGUUGGCUUGCUGAGUACCGUGUUAUUUGAUACUCACUCCUUAUUAUCUACACUUGUGUAGGUUUCGAUCUCAGACAAUGAUUUAGUAUUUAUUCCUUCAUCUGAGGCUUGACGAGGAGACUUGAAAGGGAUUGAGGUUGAAGAUCACACUCAUCUACGUGGCUAGUUAAGCUUUCCUAUUAAGCGGUUGUGGUGAGUCCUCAUUCAUCAGGGACUAGUUAUCGAGUUAGUCAUUAUUUUCAAAGACUUUUUCUAUGUUUUAUAUUGAGGGUGAGCUAGGUACAUGUCUUAGCCCGUCCAUAUUCAUGAGUAGAGGCAUCUAGUUGGACAAAUAUUUCGAGUCUAUGUUGUCAUGUGUCGCUCUUAAAUUUCUAUUCAUGAUUUAGACUCUCUUAUGAUAUUUCUGUUUUUACUUUACCUUAUGUAUGCUUAUGAUAUGUACAAGAGGCUUGGUUGGAGCCCCUUCGGGGUUUUGAUCGCCUUGUUACAAUUAGGCCCUAGGUUGAGUCGUGACAUCACCGAUCAAUGGUGUCUUUAGUACAUUUUUAGUCAUAAGGAUCUGAAUUUGAGACAGCAUAGAUGACUAUAGUUACUAAAGGACUAUGGCAUGACUAUCUUACAUCAUUCGGGGAAAGCCAGUGUGGUGGUCGAUACUUUGAGUAGGAAGGCUCCUAGUAUAUGGAGUCUCUCCACGAUUAAUGUUGAUAGGAGACCCUUGGCUAGGGAUGUUCAGAGGUUAACCAAUAACUUCAUCCGUUUGUGGGUUUUUGAGGAGAGUGGAGGUUUUAUUUUUUUCAUUGAGGCUUACUCUCUAUUAGUAGAGAAAAUUUGGGAGCAAUAGUUUGAUGAUUAGAAGUUAUGCCUCAUUCAAGACAAGGUAUUGAGAUAUGAAGCCAAGCAGGCUAGAAUUGAUUCAGAUGGUGUUUUGAGGAUCGAGGGUAGUAUUUGUAUGCCCAAGGUGGGUGACUUGAUCAGAUUGAUUCUAGAGGAGGCUCAUUAUUUUCGAUAUUCUAUUCACCAGGUGUAACAAAGAUGUAUCAUGACCUGAGCUAAUACUACUAAUAGUGUGGGAUGGAGAGGGACAUCACAUAAUUUGUGCCCAAGUGUGUGACAUAUUAAUAGGUCAAGUAUGAGCACCAACGUUCUGGAGGUGUGACCUAGAGGAUGUAUAUUCCUACAUGGAAAUGGGAGCGGAUCACCAUGUACUUUGUUGUGGGUUUUCCUACCACUGUGGUUGGUUAUGAUUCCAUUUGGGUAGUUGUUGACAGACUGACCAAGUCUGCCCAUUUCAUUCCAAUUCGGGUGAAGUAUACGACAUAGAAGCUAGCCUAGUUUUGUAUUAGUCAAAUUAUUUGGCUUCAUGAGGUGCUUGUGUCUAUUGUUGCUAAUCGAGUUUUUUUUUACUUCGCUCUUAUAGAGGGCAUUACAAUAUGGUUUGAGUACUAGACUUGAUAUGAGUAUCACUUUUCACCCACAGAGAUAUGGCCAGUUCGAGAGGAUGAUUCAUAUGCUUUGAGACUGUGCCAUUGAUUUUGGUGCUAGGUGGGAUCAACAUUUGCCCCUAGAAGAGUUUUUCUAACAUAACAAUUAUCACUCUAGUAUUCAUAUAGCUCCAUUCGAGGCGUUGUAUGGUAGGUGGUGUCAAUCUCUCAUUGGUUGGUUUGAUUCAGUUGAGAUAGACUCUUUAGACACGGACUUGCUUAGGGAUAGACUCUUUAGACACGGAGUUUCUUAGGGAUGCCAUGGAGAAGGUUUGUAUGAUUCAUGGUAGACUCAUGACAAUCCAGAGUACGCAAAAGAGCUAUGUAAACAAGAGAGUUUGACCAUUGGAGAAGGGUGAUCAUGUUUGGCUCCGAGUGUGGCACAUAAAGGGAGUGAUGUGGUUUGGAAAGAAGGACAAGCUUAGCCCGAGGUUCAUUAGCCCAUUUGAGAUUUUGGGGCGAGAGAAAGAGGUGACUUAUAGAUUGGCAUUACAACUUAGCUUAUUAACGGUACAUUCUAUUUUUCAUAUUUUUAUGCUUCGAAAGUAUGUUUCGGACGAGUCCCAUGUGAUCUCCCUUAAUUCGGUAGAGUUAGGUCUAGAUUUGACAUUUGAGGAGGAGCCCAUAGCCAUUCUGGAUAUGCAGCUCCAUAAGUUUAGGACCAAGGAGAUUACAUCAGUGAAGGUGUAGUGGAGGAGCCGUUUAGUUAGAGAGGCAACUUAGGAGUCAAAGGAAAACAUGCAUACUCGAUAUCCCUAGAUUUUCGAAGCUUCAAGUACCUUCCUUUACUUUAUGUUUGAGGAAGAACAUGGUUUUUAGUGGUGGAUGAUGUAAUGACCAUGAAGCUCAUUUUUGGAAAUCUUUCUAAAAUGAUCAUUUAACCCCGCCCAAUAGUUGCCCCGAGUCAUGUUUGAUCAGUAUUCGGUGUUGGUUUUAUGAAAUUCCUUAAAACGUUAGGUUUUUAGAAGUUUUGAGAUUUUAAAGGCUUAAAGUGUUUAAAAGUAAUUUUUGAUACCAACCAGAGUUACGAGUUUCAAAAUGGAAUUCUGUCGAUUUUAUUAGCUCCAAAAUGUGAAAUUUGGUCUAAGAAAGUUGGCGAAAUUAUAUUUGAAGUUAUAACGUGGAUUUGAGGUUCUAAGUUGGAAAUUCUUGAUUUUUUGAUCAAAGAGUUGACUUUCAUCAAUAUUCGGAGUUUCAAUGCUCGGGAUAAAAUUUUGACAGCUACAUUGGAUUUGUCGGAUGAUUUUAGGUCUAGGAAUGGUCUUGAAAUUUUUAGAGGUCCUGAGCUUCAUUUUAUAUUUUGAGGCUUUAAGUUAGUUUCAUUGCGACUUAUUGGGUUCUGGGACAAAGAGACCUCGAAUUUGAAUUCUGAUGGUUCCAUUGAGUCCAGAAUAUCAAAUUUAGUAUGGUAGCAUAAAUGGUUUAUGUGCACGAAUUUCUGAACGAAUCCCAAGGGUCUAUUCCGUGUCUUUUUGCCUUAAGUGUUUUGUUAAUUCUGGUGUCUGAGACUUCCUUCUCUGCGUUUGCGGGACCUAGGCUGCGUUCGUGGGAUAGCAAUCAUAUUCACGGGAUAGCGAUCACAUUCACGGGGAUAAUGAUCACAUUUGUAGAGUGAGACUGAGUCUGCUACCGCAUUCGCAGAAAUGUGGUGAGUUGGAGGCUAUUCGGAAGGAAAAGACCAAAAUACUUGAUUGGUCGAUUAUUGACUAAGGCAAGUAAACUUAUAAAACCUCAUAAAUCUUAUAAAUUACUUGAACUUGCUUUCGGGUAUGUGUGUUGGGGAGUAAUGGAAACAAGGUUUGGAGUGAUAAUAAUGUAAAUUUUACUUAAUGAAAGAUUGGGUUAAUAAAAGAUUAUGUGCGCUAUGUUUGUGAUAGGAAACGUGUACCUCUUGACUUGAACUUGACAUGAACUUGAUGAAAUGCUAUGAUAGCCUAAAUGUGAUUGUGAACUUGAUGAAAUUGUCAUUUUCUCAUUGUUGAUUAUGGAAAUUGACUUGAAAAUACUUUCUCACUGAUUGAUCAAUAAUUGUGAUAAAAAGGUAACAAAAUAGAGAUUUAAUGACUUAUAAUGAUGUAAAUAAUAUAAUUGCAGAUGUUGAUAUCCCGUUGAUAGAGUGAUGUGAAUUGCAUUUAUGUGAAAUACAUUGUGAUUGUGGAUACUAUCAUUCUCUCAUUAUUUGUGUGAACAUACUUAUUUGCAUUAGUUCUGGAAUAGUGUGAUGAGACCUGAUUGGUACUUAUGCCGAUGAGAAAUGGUUCUGACGAUGUCGAUGGAAAAUGGUUUUGGUGAUAGAUAUAUAUGCUGAGGGAAAAUGGUUUUGCGAUGCCGAUGGGAAAUAGUCCCGGAGAAUACAUGGUCCUUGUGCGGCCCUCAUGGGUUUGGUCUGUUAUAGGACAAACAUGCAUCACAUUUAUGUGACAUCACAUAGAUGGGAAAUGGUUCCGGCGGAUACAUGGUCCUUGUGCGUCCCCUAUGGGUUUCGAUUUGUUAUACAACGGAUGUGUAUUACUAGGACAAACAUGCAUCACAUUUAUAUGACAUCAAAUUGCAUUGCAUUACAUCUUAUAUGUCAUCAUGAAGUUGUGUAUAUGCCCCUUGUGACUUUUUGAUUGAUAUAUUUGAUACUGAUGUGGCUUAUUGGGUGAUUUUGACAAGCUAUUGUUGAUCUAUGUGUUGUAUUAACUGUGUAGUAUAGAUUGAGCUAAUUUUUGUGCAUAGUGUAGUUGAGGAGAUUCGGUUGGGAUGAAAGGAGUUCUAGUGUCUUUUUGAUUUACUCUGUUUUGUUAGUUGCCUUGUUGAGUACUGUAUUGUUUGAUACUCACUCCUUGCUAUCUACACUC